UGGGGAAUUUUGGACAAUGGACGAAAGCCUGAUCCAGCAAUGCCGCGUGUGUGAAGAAGGCCUUCGGGUUGUAAAGCACUUUUGUCCGGAAAGAAAUCCUUGGCUCUAAUACAGUCGGGGGAUGACGGUACCGGAAGAAUAAGCACCGGCUAACUACGUGCCAGCAGCCGCGGUAAUACGUAGGGUGCAAGCGUUAAUCGGAAUUACUGGGCGUAAAGCGUGCGCAGGCGGUUUGCUAAGACCGAUGUGAAAUCCCGGGGCUCAACCUGGGAACUGCAUUGGUGACUGGCAGGCUAGAGUAUGGCAGAGGGGGGUAGAAUUCCACGUGUAGCAGUGAAAUGCGUAGAGAUGUGGAGGAAUACCGAUGGCGAAGGCAGCCCCCUGGGCCAAUACUGACGCUCAUGCACGAAAGCGUGGGGAGCAAACAGGAUUAGAUACCCUGGUAGUCCACGCCCUAAACGAUGUCAACUAGUUGUUGGGGAUUCAUUUCCUUAGUAACGUAGCUAACGCGUGAAGUUGACCGCCUGGGGAGUACGGUCGCAAGAUUAAAACUUAAAGGAAUUGACGGGGUCAUAGCUGUUUCCU
This 585-nucleotide ribosomal RNA is filed under the name uncultured bacterium. RNAcentral's name for it is "partial 16S ribosomal RNA". It matches the Rfam family "Bacterial small subunit ribosomal RNA", at positions 355 to 1375 of the family's 1533-position model. The record is from RNAcentral.